Molecule: transfer RNA, 75 nt
Filed under: Candidatus Nomurabacteria bacterium GWB1_40_6
Lineage: Bacteria; Candidatus Nomuraibacteriota
Also listed under: 2 other names
Description: tRNA-Arg
Rfam family: tRNA
About the family: Transfer RNA (tRNA) molecules are approximately 80 nucleotides in length. Their secondary structure includes four short double-helical elements and three loops (D, anti-codon, and T loops).
Source: RNAcentral
GCUCUCGUAGCUCAAUGGAUAGAGUAGAGCUCUUCUAAGGCUUUGAUGUUGGUUCGAUUCCAACCGAGAGCACAA